CGCGAGGCAGCUGGGUCCACCCCCACAUCGAGGGUCCGCAGCGCUGCUUCCGGCCUCACCAACUCCCAACUUCCGAGUCCACGGAUGGGCCGUAGGCCCCAUUGGUGGAGCCUGGUCACAUGAUCACACCCUACUGCGAGGAAUGCUGGGAAAGAGAGGAUGCGAGGAGCGCUGGGGAUGAGAAGAACAGGCAUUUCCGGUGAAGCACCGGCACUUCCGGUUCUGCUUGCGCCCAGGAUGCGCUGAGCGCUCCGUUCCUGAAAUGCGGGUGCAGGUGUUAGAUUCUGGGACGCCACAAAGGAAUGGCCAGUCUUUACUCCGCUUGAUGAGCAUCUUUAAAACCUAUCACCCAGCGUGAUCCGAAAUGUUCAGGGGGACAUAAAGUCUUUAACUUUCAAACGAUCCAGCAGAGAGGGAGAGAGAGAGAGAGACCGAGAAGAAGAGACAGAGGGAAGGAGGGUUGAGAAUGCAGGCGCUGUGCAUUCUUCGCAAGCGUGAAUUCAGUCCCGCCGAGGGCUUGCAGUCGGCCACGGUGGGGGAUGGAUGCCACAGAGGUUGGCAAACCUUUUCCCCCAGGCAGCUGGUUUAUUAAGCUUUUUCCAGCGCUCCGCUAGGAAGGUCUUUCCCGUCUGCCUUUCCGGGCUUCCUGCAAUCACCAGGUCAAGUUCACCUACGUCCCGCUCUGCUGAGUCCUUUCCUCUCCCUUGCCUCUCCUUGAGCCGGUUCAGUUUGGCCCUGCCUUCAGGUCCAGAAUGACUUCCUUCUCCGCCCUUCAAGAUAAUAGAUCGAGAGGGCGGAUGCUGGGCUGAACCGGCAGCAGCAGUCUCAUCAGCCUCAAGAGUGCCUGGUGACGCCUCUGAGCACAGAAUGCCAUUCCUGUUACUUUUCCCGGACCCGCAUCAACGCCUCCUGAAAAGCUGGCCUCCUGAGAAAGGUGAUCUCCGUCAUGGAAGAGAGAGACAGAGCAUGAACAGGGAGGAGCAGAGAGAGAGGGAGACACAGAAUCCGAAGCUGGCUCCAGGCUCCGAGCUGUCGGCACAGAGCCCGACGCAGGGCUCGAACUCACAGACUAUGGUCUCACUGUUGUUUUCAAACAAGGUACACAUUCGCAGAAAAUUACAUAGCAAUCCUACGGACUUAGAUAAGAAUUAAAGAUUUACGUUCUCGUGUUCUUGGUGGUGCCUUCGGCACGAGUGAAAACCAAACAAACAGAAAAUCAGGCAAACAACAGAAAAAAAAAACCCAACCCUGCAGGCCUCCGGGUUCUCCAGAUCCGGAGAUUUCAGCUUAGGUCAUGAGCUCAUGGGGUUGUGAGUUCGAGCCCCACAUGGGGCUCUACAGUGACAGCGCAGAGCCUACUUGGGAUUCCCUCUCUCCCCCUUUCUCUCUCUCUG
Long non-coding RNA from Acinonyx jubatus (cheetah), 1394 nucleotides. RefSeq lists it as uncharacterized. The transcript has 3 exons. Lineage: Eukaryota; Metazoa; Chordata; Mammalia; Carnivora; Felidae. The record is from RefSeq and is a predicted model, not a curated record.